RNAcentral lists this ribosomal RNA (465 nucleotides) under uncultured bacterium. RNAcentral's name for it is "partial 16S ribosomal RNA". It matches the Rfam family "Bacterial small subunit ribosomal RNA", at positions 338 to 795 of the family's 1533-position model. The record is from RNAcentral.
CCUACGGGGUGCAGCAGUGGGGAAUAUUGCGCAAUGGGCGAAAGCCUGACGCAGCGACGCCGCGUGAGGGAUGAAGGUCUUCGGAUCGUAAACCUCUGUCAGCAGGGAAGAACGGUCACUGGGCUAAUCAGCAGUGAAUUGACGGUACCGGCAAAGGAAGCACCGGCCAACUCCGUGCCAGCAGCCGCGGUAAGACGGAGGGUGAGAGCGUUAAUCGGAAUUAAUGGGCGUAAAGAGCACGUAGGCGGUAUGUCAAGUCAAGGGUGAAAUCCCCGCGCUCAACGUGGGAACUGCCUUUGAAACUGUCACACUGGAGUGUGUGUGAGGAUAGUGGAAUUCCAGGUGUAGGCGUGACCUCCGUAGAUCUCUGGAGGAACAUCAGUGGCGAAGGCGACUCUCUGGCACAUACCUGCCGCUGAGGAGCGAAAGCGUGGGUAGCAAACAGGAUUAGAUACCCUAGUAGUC